AACUUAAUCCGGGCAAUUGCUCUCCGAUUUAUCGGGGGGAGGAAAGUCCGAACUUUACAGAACAAGGUGCCGGGUAACACCCGGGAGCUAAUGGAGUAAUCUAUUAUCGACUGACAGUGCCACAGAAAAUAGACUACCUUGAAUUUAUUUUCAGGGAAAAGGUGAAAAGGCGAGGUAAGAGCUCAACGUCCCGAUAGUAAUAUCGGGUGCAUGGCAAACCACACCUGAAGCAAGGUCAAGUAAGAAAGUCUCCCCGACUUGUUGGGGCAAAGUUGUUCGCUUUGAAUUAAUGCUUAAUUGCAGAUUAGAUUUUCGGGUAGACCGCUUAAGUCUGUUGGUAACAACAGAACAAGAUAAAUAAUUGCCGUCUCGACUCUGUCGGGAUUACAGAAUUCGGCUUAUAGGUUUAAGCUAUUA
RNAcentral lists this RNase P RNA (417 nucleotides) under Ignavibacterium sp. Its description in RNAcentral is "RNase P RNA component class A". It matches the Rfam family "Bacterial RNase P class A". Rfam says of the family: Ribonuclease P (RNase P) is a ubiquitous endoribonuclease, found in archaea, bacteria and eukarya as well as chloroplasts and mitochondria. Its best characterised activity is the generation of mature 5'-ends of tRNAs by cleaving the 5'-leader elements of precursor-tRNAs. The record is from RNAcentral. Lineage: Bacteria; Pseudomonadati; Ignavibacteriota; Ignavibacteria; Ignavibacteriales; Ignavibacteriaceae.